RNAcentral lists this ribosomal RNA (460 nucleotides) under uncultured bacterium. RNAcentral's name for it is "partial 16S ribosomal RNA". It matches the Rfam family "Bacterial small subunit ribosomal RNA", at positions 338 to 795 of the family's 1533-position model. The record is from RNAcentral.
CCUACGGGAGGCAGCAGUGAGGAAUAUUGGUCAAUGGGCUUACGCCUGAACCAGCCAAGUCGCGUGCGGGAAGACUGCCCUAUGGGUUGUAAACCUCUUUUGUCAGGGAGCAAUUGGCGCUACGUGUAGCGUUAUCGAGAGUACCUGAAGAAAAGGCAUCGGCUAUCUCCGUGCCAGCAGCCGCGGUAAUACGGAGGAUGCGAGCGUUAUCCGGUUUUAUUGGGUUUAAGGGGUGCGUAGGCGGAAUGCCAAGUCAGCGGUAAAAUCGCGGGGCACAACCGCGCACCGCCGUUGAAACUGGCGUGCUUGAGUGCGCGAGAAGUAUGCGGAAUGCGUGGUGUAGCGGUGAAAUGCAUAGAUAUCACGCAGAACUCCGAUUGCGAAGGCAGCAUACCGGCGCCCAACUGACGCUGAAGCACGAAAGCGUGGGUAUCGAACAGGAUUAGAUACCCUAGUAGUC